Molecule: long non-coding RNA, 570 nt
Filed under: Jatropha curcas
Lineage: Eukaryota; Viridiplantae; Streptophyta; Magnoliopsida; Malpighiales; Euphorbiaceae
Description: long non-coding RNA (JCUR_LNC002537)
Source: RNAcentral
UCAUAUACAAGGUAGGGAUUUCUACCACAUAUUUCAUACUCAUCAUACAUCAUCUUAAGAGCAUAAACCAACAAAGAGAACAAGAAAUCUUAAGGCCUUUUUCAUCAAUAGGUUCUGCCACUUUUGGAAGAUGAAGAAGAAAAUGUUUUCCUCAUCAAUUCUACAUAUAAACAUGCUUAGAAAUCUCCCAAGAACACAUUUAUACCACCAAAAUUCAAUAAUCAAAUCAUUUCAUAUAAAAUUCCCAAUUUUCACAAAAUAGUAGAAACUUCACAAAAUCAAAAAUUUAAACAAGGUAGGAGGAUUUAUGAACACUUACUUUAAAACAAGCCUUAGCAAGCUUAGAUUAAAGCAUUCUAAGCUCCAACUUUGCCUUUACUCCUUGGUAGAGGUUUCCUAAGCCUUUGGCUUUCCAAGUUUCUUGAAAAUAAUCACCACAAAUCACUUCUCAAGCUUUAAACUCUAGGAUUGAUUCCUUAAAUCAAGUUAAAUGGGUUGAAUUUGAUGGAUUUAGCUAAGGAUGAAGUUGAAGAAAAACAAAGAGAAGAAGAAGAAGAAGGAGAUAGCCAA